AACGAACGCUGGCGGCAUGCCUAACACAUGCAAGUCGAACGAGACCUUCGGGUCUAGUGGCGCACGGGUGCGUAACGCGUGGGAACCUGCCCUUAGGUUCGGAAUAACUCCCCGAAAGGGGUGCUAAUACCGGAUAAUGUCUUCGGACCAAAGAUUUAUCGCCUUUGGAUGGGCCCGCGUUGGAUUAGCUAGUUGGUAGGGUAAAAGCCUACCAAGGCGACGAUCCAUAGCUGGUCUGAGAGGAUGAUCAGCCACACUGGGACUGAGACACGGCCCAGACUCCUACGGGAGGCAGCAGUGGGGAAUAUUGGACAAGGGGCGAAAGCCUGAUCCAGCAAUGCCGCGUGAGUGAUGAAGGCCUUAGGGUUGGAAAGCUCUUUUACCCGGGAUGAUAAUGACAGUACCGGGAGAAUAAGCUCCGGCUAACUCCGUG
RNAcentral lists this ribosomal RNA (433 nucleotides) under uncultured bacterium. RNAcentral describes it as "partial 16S ribosomal RNA". It matches the Rfam family "Bacterial small subunit ribosomal RNA", at positions 29 to 507 of the family's 1533-position model. The record is from RNAcentral.